UACGAAGGGUGCAAGCGUUAAUCGGAAUUACUGGGCGUAAAGCGUGCGUAGGCGGUUUGUUAAGUCUGUUGUGAAAGCCCUGGGCUCAACCUGGGAAUGGCAAUGGAAACUGGCAAGCUAGAGUCAGGUAGAGGGUGGUGGAAUUCCCGGUGUAGCGGUGAAAUGCGUAGAGAUCGGGAGGAACAUCUGUGGCGAAGGCGGCCACCUGGACCAUGACUGACGCUGAGGCACGAAAGCGUGGGGAGCAAACAGG
Molecule: ribosomal RNA, 253 nt
Filed under: uncultured bacterium
Lineage: Bacteria
Description: partial 16S ribosomal RNA
Rfam family: Bacterial small subunit ribosomal RNA
Source: RNAcentral